UCGUGGGGCAGCAUGACUGUAGCAAUACAGUUGAUGGCGACCGGCAAACGGGUGCGGAACACGUACACAACCUUCCUUUUAGUGGAGAAUAGCCCAGGGAAACUUGGAUUAAUACUCCGUAACAUAUAGAAGUGGCAUCACUUUUAUAUUAAAGCAGCAAUGCGCUAGAAGAUGGGUGUGCGGCUGAUUAGAUAGUUGGCGGGGUAACGGCCCACCAAGUCGACGAUCAGUAACUGGUGUGAGAGCACGACCAGUCACACGGGCACUGAGACACGGGCCCGACUCCUACGGGAGGCAGCAGUAAGGAAUAUUGGUCAAUGGACGCAAGUCUGAACCAGCCAUGCCGCGUGGAGGAUGAAGGUCCUCUGGAUUGUAAACUUCUUUUAUCUGGGAAGAAAUCCAUUUUUUCUAAAAUGGUUGACGGUACCAGAUGAAUAAGCACCGGCUAACUCCGUGCCAGCAGCCGCGGUAAUACGGAGGGUGCAAGCGUUAUCCGGAUUCACUGGGUUUAAAGGGUGCGUAGGUGGGCAAGUAAGUCAGUGGUGAAAUCUCCGGGCUUAACCCGGAAACUGCCAUUGGUACUAUUUGUCUUGAAUACUGUGGAGGUCAGCGGAAUAUGUCAUGUAGCGGUGAAAUGCUUAGAUAUGACAUAGAACACCAAUUGCGAAGGCAGCUGGCUACACAAAUAUUGACACUGAGGCACGAAAGCGUGGGGAUCAAACAGGAUUAGAUACCCUGGUAGUCCACGCCCUAAACUAUGGAUACUCGACAUUUGCGAUAAACUGC
This 786-nucleotide ribosomal RNA is filed under the name uncultured Sphingobacteriales bacterium. RNAcentral's name for it is "bacterial SSU rRNA". It matches the Rfam family "Bacterial small subunit ribosomal RNA", at positions 62 to 840 of the family's 1533-position model. Lineage: Bacteria; Pseudomonadati; Bacteroidota; Sphingobacteriia; Sphingobacteriales. The record is from RNAcentral.